CCUACGGGAGGCAGCAGUAGGGAAUCUUCGGCAAUGGGGGCAACCCUGACCGAGCAACGCCGCGUGAGUGAAGAAGGUUUUCGGAUCGUAAAGCUCUGUUGUUGGUGAAGAAGGAUAGAGGUAGUAACUGGCCUUUGUUUGACGGUAAUCAACCAGAAAGUCACGGCUAACUACGUGCCAGCAGCCGCGGUAAUACGUAGGUGGCAAGC
RNAcentral lists this ribosomal RNA (209 nucleotides) under uncultured bacterium. Its description in RNAcentral is "partial 16S ribosomal RNA". It matches the Rfam family "Bacterial small subunit ribosomal RNA", at positions 338 to 539 of the family's 1533-position model. The record is from RNAcentral.